Odocoileus virginianus texanus is the source of this 567-nucleotide non-coding RNA. The record is from the annotation of a RefSeq genome assembly. Lineage: Eukaryota; Metazoa; Chordata; Mammalia; Artiodactyla; Cervidae.
UCCACCAUGGACUUCGGGCAGCUCUGCUGUGUGGUCCUCUGUCUCCUGGGCAUAGCCAUCUCUGCAGACCCUGGGAUCACUCAGAUACCAAAAUACCUAGUCAUGGGAAUGAUGGACAAGAAAUCUUUGAAAUGUGAACAACAUCUAGGACAUAAUGCUAUGUACUGGUAUAAACAGAGUGCCCAGAAGCCGCCAGAGCUCAUGUUCAUCUACAACUACAAGGAACUCGCUGAAAAUGCGAGUGUUCCAAGUCGCUUCCAGCCUAGAUGCCCAGAGAGUUCCCAGUGCCUCCUGGACCUGAACGCCCCGAAACCACAGGACGCUGCCGUGUACCUCUGCGCCAGCAGACACUUGGUACCUGGUGUCAGCCAGAACCCUUGCUACUACAUCACAGAGAUGGGAUGGGAUGUGACCCUGCGGUGUGACCCCAUGCCUGGUCCUCUGUACCACAGUGGUACCGACAGAAAGGGCAUGGAGUUUCUGAUGUCCAUCUACAACAAAGAACUUUCAGAAAAGGCACACUUUUUGGAGGAUUGCUUCUCAGCUGAGAUGCCCAACAGUGUGUAG